GACGAACGCUGGCGGCGUGCUUAACACAUGCAAGUCGAACGGAAAGGCCCUGCUUUUGUGGGGUGCUCGCGUGGCGAACGGGUGAGUAACACGUGAGUAACCUGCCCUUGACUUUGGGAUAACUUCAGGAAACUGGGGCUAAUACAGGAUAGGAGAUCCUGCUGCAUGGUGGGGGUCGGAAAGUUUCGGCGGUUGGGGAUGGACGCGCGGCUUAUCAGCUUGUUGGUGGGGUAGUGGCUUACCAAGGCUUUGACGGGUAGCCGGCCUGGGAGGGUGACCGGCCACAUUGGGACUGCGAUACGGCCCAGACUCCUACGGGGGGCAGCAGUGGGGAAUAUUGCACAAUGGGCGGACGCCUGAUGCAGCAACCCCGCGUGCGGGAUGACGGCCUUCGGGUUGUAAACCGCUUUCGCCUGUGACGAAGCGUGAGUGACGGUAAUGGGUAAAGAAGCACCGGCUAACUACGUG
Molecule: ribosomal RNA, 468 nt
Filed under: uncultured bacterium
Lineage: Bacteria
Description: partial 16S ribosomal RNA
Rfam family: Bacterial small subunit ribosomal RNA
Source: RNAcentral